Non-coding RNA from Canis lupus familiaris (dog), 168 nucleotides. NCBI's taxonomy places the organism in Eukaryota, Metazoa, Chordata, Mammalia, Carnivora, Canidae. The record is from Rfam.
AUCGCUUCUUGGCCUUUUGGCUAAGAUCAAGGGUAGUAUUUGUGUUUGAAAGUUGCUAAGAAAGAUCUUUUUUGUUCUCACGGCUGGAAAGAAUGUCUUCUGUAUGGUGAUGCUAACGAGACCAGUGGUGCCACAUUAUACACAAAUAUGGGAUCACACUGUACCCCU